CAUACAAGCAACACUAAAAGGA
RNAcentral lists this non-coding RNA (22 nucleotides) under Rattus norvegicus (Norway rat). Lineage: Eukaryota; Metazoa; Chordata; Mammalia; Rodentia; Muridae. The record is from RNAcentral.